GACAGAGGCCUCGAGCGUUAGGCGGAAUCACUGGGCUUAAAGCGUGUGUAGGCGGGCCCGUAAGUGUCUUGUGAAAUCCCACGGCUCAACCGUGGAACUGCUGGGCAUACUGCGGGUCUGGGCCAACUAGGGGCAGCCGGAACAAGCGGUGGAGCGGUGAAAUGCGUAGAUAUCGGCUUGGAACGCGAAGGUGAAAACAGGCUGCUGGG
RNAcentral lists this ribosomal RNA (209 nucleotides) under uncultured bacterium. RNAcentral's name for it is "partial 16S ribosomal RNA". It matches the Rfam family "Bacterial small subunit ribosomal RNA", at positions 524 to 733 of the family's 1533-position model. The record is from RNAcentral.